Molecule: long non-coding RNA, 1051 nt
Filed under: Homo sapiens (human)
Lineage: Eukaryota; Metazoa; Chordata; Mammalia; Primates; Hominidae
Description: HSALNT0368221
Source: RNAcentral
CCAACGCCUCGACCUCCCAAAUUGCUGGGAUUACAAGUGUGAGUCACCGCAUCCAGCCUGAAUGUGUCACUUUUUAUUCCAGGUAUCUCCUGGUCCACCUCCUCUGAAGACUCUGAGCUCCCAGAGGGCUAGAACUGUGACUUGUCCCCCUUGGCAUCACAAGGUAUUACAAGGGCCUGGCAUGUGGACAGUUCCACGUGUGGCAUGAAUGAAUGAAUAGACGAUUACGUCUUGAUCAUCAGAGACUUUACAGGUCACAGAAAUCUUUCAUAUGAGUUAUCUCCUGUGAUCCUCACAACAGCCACCUGUUUAUAGAGAGCAUCAGAAAGGAUGAGUGAUGUUGAGGGUCACGCAGAGAAGCAAUGGCCGAAUUACUAGCCUCCGAAGGACUGUCACCAGAUUGGUCACCAUGGGGUAUCAAGUAGUGCUGCUGCAUAAAGGCAACACUGAGAGAUGAAGCCCCUUUCUCCAGCAUCUGUGUGGGUGGAGGGCCAGGGAUCCCGUCUGUUACGCACAUUCAACAAACUCAAGUUUUGCCAUCCACUGGGCGUCCUGCAGUACAGCGGUGUGGGCUCAUCUCCAGGACCUCUCUCUACGGGGUACGCCCCUCAUCUUGCGGUGAUCAGUGUUCCUUCCAGACCUCUCAGUCCGGACUGAGUUGGGCACCGCGUCAGCGUCUCCCGGCCAGGCUCGCCGCCGAUGACUCCGCUCGGCCUAGGGAGGCGGCCGAGAGCCCGUAGGGCUCCUCCUUCCCUCCAGUCUCUAUGGCGGAAGUGAGUUGUACGGGCCGAAACACCACAGCGUUCUCGGUGGUGGGCUGAAUGGACUCGUCCACAUGAGGGGGAUCUUCAUCACCAUCAACUCUUAAAAUCCGAGACAUAACCACGAAAGGAGCAGCCCCCAGAUCAGAGAGCAACGCAUGACUAUCUGCGUGUGCUUCUGUGACUACGCGGAUGUUGUGGGCGGCUACAUGCGUGCGGGGGCCCGGCGAGCUGGGCAGGUGCCCCCUCCGGGGCCGUGGGAUCUGGUGAGCUUCCCGGCGCGCGGGGGG